UGGGGAAUUUUGCACAAUGGGGGAAACCCUGAUGCAGCGACGCCGCGUGAUUUAGAAGGCCUUCGGGUUGUAAAAAUCUUUUGUAUGGGAAGAAAAUGACAGUACCAUACGAAUAAGGACCGGCUAAUUACGUGCCAGCAGCCGCGGUAAUACGUAAGGUCCGAGCGUUGUCCGGAAUCAUUGGGCUUAAAGGGUACGUAGGCGGAUAAGCAAGUUAGAAGUGAAAUCCUAUAGCUCAACUAUAGUAAGCUUUUAAAACUGCUCAUCUUGAGGUAUGGAAGGGAAAGUGGAAUUCCUAGUGUAGCGGUGAAAUGCGCAGAUAUUAGGAGGAAUACCGGUGGCGAAGGCGACUUUCUGGCCAUAUACUGACGCUGAGGUACGAAAGCGUGGGUAGCAAACAGG
This 402-nucleotide ribosomal RNA is filed under the name Verrucomicrobiota bacterium. Its description in RNAcentral is "Verrucomicrobia bacterium partial 16S ribosomal RNA". It matches the Rfam family "Bacterial small subunit ribosomal RNA", at positions 355 to 776 of the family's 1533-position model. Lineage: Bacteria; Pseudomonadati; Verrucomicrobiota. The record is from RNAcentral.